UGGGGAAUUGUUCGCAAUGGGCGCAAGCCUGACGACGCAACGCCGCGUGGAGGAUGAAGAUCUUCGGGUCGUAAACUCCUGUCGAGCGGGAAGAAACCCGCGGGGGUGAAUAAUCCCUGCGGCUGACGGUACCGCUAAAGGAAGCCCCGGCUAACUCCGUGCCAGCAGCCGCGGUAAUACGGGGGGGCAAGCGUUGUUCGGAAUUACUGGGCGUAAAGGGCUCGUAGGCGGCCAACUAAGUCGGACGUGAAAUCCCCAGGCUCAACUUGGGAACUGCGUCCGAUACUGGAUGGCUUGAAUUCGGGAGAGGGAUGCAGAAUUCCAGGUGUAGCGGUGAAAUGCGUAGAUAUCUGGAGGAAUACCGGUGGCGAAGGCGGCAUCCUGGACCGACAUUGACGCUGAUGAGCGAAAGCCAGGGGAGCAAACGGGAUUAGAUACCCCGGUAGUCCUGGCCCUAAACGAUGAAUGCUUGGUGUGACGGGUAUCGAUCCCUGUCGUGCCGAAGCUAACGC
RNAcentral lists this ribosomal RNA (512 nucleotides) under uncultured Acidobacteriota bacterium. Its description in RNAcentral is "bacterial SSU rRNA". It matches the Rfam family "Bacterial small subunit ribosomal RNA", at positions 355 to 858 of the family's 1533-position model. The record is from RNAcentral. Lineage: Bacteria; Pseudomonadati; Acidobacteriota.